RNAcentral lists this ribosomal RNA (253 nucleotides) under uncultured bacterium. Its description in RNAcentral is "partial 16S ribosomal RNA". It matches the Rfam family "Bacterial small subunit ribosomal RNA", at positions 524 to 776 of the family's 1533-position model. The record is from RNAcentral.
UACGGGGGGGGCAAGCGUUGUUCGGAAUUCCUGGGCGUAAAGGGCUCGUAGGUGGCCAACUCAGUCGGACGUGAAAUCCCUCAGCUUAACUGGGGAACUGCGUCCGAUACUGGAUGGCUUGAGUUUGGGAGAGGGAUGCGGAAUUCCAGGUGUAGCGGUGAAAUGCGUAGAUAUCUGGAGGAACACCGGUGGCGAAGGCGGCAUCCUGGACCAACACUGACACUGAGGAGCGAAAGCCAGGGGAGCAAACGGG